Molecule: ribosomal RNA, 443 nt
Filed under: uncultured bacterium
Lineage: Bacteria
Description: partial 16S ribosomal RNA
Rfam family: Bacterial small subunit ribosomal RNA
Source: RNAcentral
CCUACGGGGGGCAGCAGUGGGGGAUAUUGGACAAUGGGGGAAACCCUGAUCCAGCGACGCCGCGUGAGUGAAGAAGUAUUUCGGUAUGUAAAGCUCUGUCAGCAGGGAAGAAAGAAAUGACGGUACCUGACCAAUAAGCCCCGGCUAACUACGUGCCAGCAGCCGCGGUAAUACGUAGGGGGCAAGCGUUAUCCGGAUUUACUGGGUGUAAAGGGAGCGUAGACGGUGAUGCAAGUCUGGAGUGAAAGGUGGGGGCCCAACCCCCGGACUGCAGUGGAAACUGUGUAACUUGAGUGCAGGAGAGGUAAGCGGAAUUCGUGGUGUAGCGGUGAAAUGCGUAGAUAUUAGGAGGAACACCAGUGGCGAAGGCGGCUUACUGGACCGUAACUGACGUUGAGGCACGAAAGCGUGGGGAGCGAACAGGAUUAGAUACCCGUGUAGUC